AGUUAGCUGACGAAUCGCAAAUAGGACGAAAUGCGCAUCCUGGAU
This 45-nucleotide non-coding RNA is filed under the name Trichobilharzia regenti. The record is from RNAcentral. Lineage: Eukaryota; Metazoa; Platyhelminthes; Trematoda; Strigeidida; Schistosomatidae.